Molecule: ribosomal RNA, 450 nt
Filed under: uncultured organism
Description: partial 16S ribosomal RNA
Rfam family: Bacterial small subunit ribosomal RNA
Source: RNAcentral
GUACACUCCUGCGGGAGGCAGCAGUGGGGAAUAUUGGACAAUGGGCGCAAGCCUGAUCCAGCCAUGCCGCGUGAGUGAUGAAGGCCCUAGGGUUGUAAAGCUCUUUCACCGGUGAAGAUAAUGACGGUAACCGGAGAAGAAGCCCCGGCUAACUUCGUGCCAGCAGCCGCGGUAAUACGAAGGGGGCUAGCGUUGUUCGGAUUUACUGGGCGUAAAGCGCACGUAGGCGGACUAUUAAGUCAGGGGUGAAAUCCCGGGGCUCAACCCCGGAACUGCCUUUGAUACUGGUAGUCUUGAGUUCGAGAGAGGUGAGUGGAAUUCCGAGUGUAGAGGUGAAAUUCGUAGAUAUUCGGAGGAACACCAGUGGCGAAGGCGGCUCACUGGCUCGAUACUGACGCUGAGGUGCGAAAGCGUGGGGAGCAAACAGGAUUAGAAACCCCAGUAGUCCCA